AGAUGGAUCAUUCAUAACUUUUUGUUACCUAUUGGUUCGCGUAUCCACAUAAUCGAAAUUAAUGCAUAUGGUUUUCCAACAUAUUUAAGGUCUAUUCUUAUACUAUACGAUUUUCGGCGAUGGAUGUCUUGGGUCCCGUAACGAUGAAGGGCGCAGCUAGAUGCGAUAUGCAGUUCGACUUGCAAACUUCAGUGAAACAUUAGAUACUUGAACGUAAAAGGUACUCUUGGAUUCUAUUCAAGAGUAUGCUCACUUCAGUGCUUCAUAUUCUUGUUGUCAAUACAUUCGACAACGUGUAUAGUCGCUGUUACUGUAACGGCGCCUUAAAUUCAGUAGUACAAGCUUAUUGGUAGUGAAAACAAAGCUUAUUCUAAUUUUUUGAAAAGAAGCCUGAGUUUGAGUCAGAAUACCCGCUGAACUUAAGCAUAUUAUUAAGCGGAGGAGAAGAAACUAACUAGGACUUCCUCAGUAACUGCGAGUGAACAGGAAAGUGCUCAAACUGAAAAUCGGCAACUAUUUGUCGAAUUGUAGUUUCAUGAAGUGCAGCUUGUGGUUGUUCUGGGUUAAGUCUCUUGGAAAAGAGUACUAAUAAGGGUGAAAGUCCCGUUUUUGCUCAGGAAUAAUUACGUUAAGUGCAUUUUCAAAGAGUCGCGUUCUUUGAGAUUAGAGCGCAAAGUCGGUGAUAAAUUUCAUCUAAAGCUAAAUAUUGACGGGGUCCCGAUAGCGUACAAGUACCGUGAGGGAAAGACGAAAAGGACUUUGAAAAGAGAGUUAAAAGGAACUGAAAUUGCUGGAAAGGAAGCAGAGAGUUUUGGCAGUCUAACGAAUCUUGGUAUCUACGUUAGUUGGUGCUAUAGUUUUGUGGUGACUCUGGAAGAGAUUAUUCUCCUUGGUUAAAAUAUUGAUGUGUUUCCUUCUGGUUUCACUUCCUUAUUGUCCUUGGUGUGACUAAUUUUCGUUACUAAUGCAGCCUUUGCGGUUGCAUUAUACUAUUCCAUUGCUUGCUGUUUCUCUCUGUCCCGUCUUGAAACACGGACCAAGGAGUCUACCUUCUGUGCGAGUGCAAUGGUGGUAAACCAGUGUGCGAAAUUAAAGUAAUAAUCGAGAAGGGUAACCGUCAUUGAGUCCCGGUUAUAAAGCUGAGGCUGAGCAUAGAGAGUAGGACCCGAAAGAUGGUGAACUAUGCCUGAGUAGGGUGAAGCUAGAGGAAACUCUGGUGGAAGCUCGCAGCGAUACUGACGUGCAAAUCGUUCGUCAAACUUGGGUAUAGGGGCGAAAGACUAAUCGAACUAUCUAGUAGCUGGUUCCCUC
RNAcentral lists this unclassified non-coding RNA (1311 nucleotides) under uncultured Eucoccidiorida. RNAcentral describes it as "sequence contains 18S rRNA gene, ITS1, 5.8S rRNA gene, ITS2, 28S rRNA gene". The stretch from base 387 to 1311 matches the Rfam family "Eukaryotic large subunit ribosomal RNA", at positions 1 to 961 of the family's 3401-position model. The record is from RNAcentral. Lineage: Eukaryota; Apicomplexa; Conoidasida; Eucoccidiorida.